UUAAAAAUGCUCUUCAAUUAUAUGACAUUUUAAAACAUGUAUGUUGGGACUAUGAGCUAUGGAGUAUUUGAAACAUCCUUAUGAUACUUGUUCUGGGGCUAUGCCUGCAAUUUCCAAAUUUGGGAGAUCAUUGAACUUUAUAAAGAGAAAAAAAUAACUGCCUACUAUGUAUAAGGUUUUUCAUUUAUAUCUCUGUUUCUUAUAACAACCAACAAGGUAGGCAUUCUACCCACAAAUUAUGGAUAAAGACAGAUAAGCUUUAAGGGUACUUCUCAAACUUCAUUUUUUCAUUUCUUUGUGUGUCUUCAAGAAGCAAGUAAACUUAUGCUUCAUUCAUUGAGAGAGAUAUGUUUAUCCACUACAGAUAGAGGAAAUGGUGCAAUUCACACACCUGCAGAAACUCCAGGUGUGGUUGAGCAUGUGAUGGAUGAUUGAACCAAAGGUUUCCUUUCAAGGGUAGAAGUUUAAAAUAUGGAGAAGAUCAGUGAAAGAGCAGAGCAUAGACGUAUGCACUUGGAAGAAGGUACUGUAUAUAUACAUAUAUAUGUAUGUUUCAUAUCUUCAUUUGGAAUCUCAAGGUGGGUGCUGAGGAACAUGAUUUUCUUUCUGUAUUGUGUGUUCUUUAUUCUUUAUUCUUCUCCCUUUUCCAAUAAUUGCUGCACAUGCAGGAACUAGCUCAUUUACUGGCUUUGAAUAUAUACAGAUCCAGGAGAUAUGAAAUAAUUUUAGGAGCCACAGAAAAUACUGUAAACUUUUCACUCCUCAGUGUCUUAACACUCAGAUUCUUGUGGAGGAAAACCCUAGAGACUCCUUCAAUUCAAUUCAGUUCAAUUCAAUUAAAAAAGUAUUACCUUUCUCAGAAGACCAUCUGUUAUGCCUCUUUCUGAUUGUUCUUCUCUCUUUUCUUCAGGGUCAACUUGAAAAACCUGGCCCCUGAGUUUCACCUUUCAAAAUCCUUUUCUCAUUAAAAACCCGAACAAUCCACCAGCAACUCAUGAGCUAGCAGCAGAAAAGAUGACAGAGCUGGGGCUGGCAGAGCGAGGAAUGAAAGAGAGAGAACAGAUCAGUGUUCAGUUUGAAAGAGCCAUAAUUCAGCAGUCUUUCUACAUUACCUCUCAGAAGAAGGAGCCUGCAUGUCUAAAGAGAGAAGUGAAGUUUAAGUACUGGAAAAAAGGAAAGUCUUCAGCCUUGGGAAUGUAAUAACCUGGGGUCAGCUGAGAACCCUGAGGAGGACUGACCCAAUCAGCUGCUGGGAGAAGCAACAUAACUGUUCUGCUGGAGGGAGAAACAAAUUCUAAUCAGAUGUGAACCAACUAUCCAGGGAGCUUCUGUUGUCAUGAGAAAAGGAAGUGCUCUUCCUUUCAACUGGAAAACUAGAAUGUAC
Molecule: long non-coding RNA, 1384 nt
Filed under: Homo sapiens (human)
Lineage: Eukaryota; Metazoa; Chordata; Mammalia; Primates; Hominidae
Description: HSALNT0321748
Source: RNAcentral